Non-coding RNA from Megalopta genalis, 3127 nucleotides. NCBI's taxonomy places the organism in Eukaryota, Metazoa, Arthropoda, Insecta, Hymenoptera, Halictidae. The record is from RefSeq and is a predicted model, not a curated record.
GAAAAGGAGAAGAGAGAGAGAGAGAGAGAGAAUACGCGAGAGUGAGUGUGCGCGUGUGUGUUGUGAGAAGGAAAGAGAAACAAGCUUUUUGUACCAUCCCCUGAAUCAAUUCCUGCUCAUCACCUGGCACCCUCCAAUCGGAUCGGAUCAAUCGAUUAUAAUUAUCCUAAAUUGUGUUUGUUACUUGAUCGAAGGUGAAGAAAUGCUCGGUGCCGAUUCUCUCGAUAAGGAAAUUUCUGCAACUUCAUUUUAUGGUUUUACCGAUAUCUCUUUCGGAAAGCAUUGUACUGUUUUGAAAUGUUAAUGCGUGCAAUUAUUACGUCUGCGAUAACGGUUCACUGCGAUUGUAAUAUAGACGACAACAAGAAUAUUACAAUAAGUAAUAUAGACGACCGUGAAUUUUUCAACGCUGAAUUCGAAAAAAGAAAGAAACGAACGUGUUAGGGUGACACGGUGGUGGCAGCGGGGAAUGCUGGGGGUGGCGGUGGUCCCGGUGGCGACGAAGCCGUGUUGUGUAAAUCUAUAAGUUUUCAUAUAUUGCAUAAAAUAUGUUUAUUACAUAUUUUCACUAUGCCGACACGUAUUUGUGUGCCUCACUACCCUCCUACCACGUAUUUUAUCCUACGACUUUUACCUAAUUCUUUCGUCGUGCCGAUGAUGAUCUUGCUGUGACCCGAGCUUGAAUAAAUCCUCAUCUUCGAAUCUCGACACGUGGAAGUGUCGAGAUAUUACGAGAUAUCCAACGGGAAAUGAAUCCGGAUACAAGGGAAAACAAAAAGGAUUCCGAGAAACGCGGGAUUGACAGACCACACACAGUGAAAUAUAAAACACUUGUCGCUCGGAUAGAUAUUAUCAUUUCGAAGUUCACCGCGACGAAAAACGGGACCUGGUUACGACGAACAACAAAGCUACACGCAACAUACAGGCAUUCGUUAAUUGCAUUCACAGAGCACACACACACACACACACGGACACCUACUCUACACGUACACAUACGCGUGCGCGCACGUGUACUUACGAAUUAUAAGAAUCGUUCUUGAUUCCGACAGAGAAAUUAUUACUGUACCGAAAUAGUUUGUAUCUUCCUUUCCCACCCAUAGUUGCUUACAUUUGUAUACAGCAUAUAAUACAUUAAAAGAUUAUGUAAGUAGUUUUUUAAAGAAUCCGACGAGUUCACUUUCUUUUACAGUGUCGUCCGCGCUUUGGAGACACUUCUAUCUUGCUUCUCUUUCAUGGGCAUUUUAUUUUCGACUGUUUAUCUUUUGUAAUGUUUCAAUGAAAUCGAAAAUUACGAGACCAAAGGGUUCACGCGAUGGUAACAAUGAAACUAUUACUUACAAUGAUCGAUUGUAAGAAGACAGCGAAAUUGAAAGAACGCAAUUUAUCGUUUUCAAGUCUGUAGAAAAUUCUAGACAUCGAGGGAGAGAAGUGAUCAAUUUAGCGUGGAAUCACCCCUUAAAUCACCCCUUUUAUUCUGCAAGAGCAGAAUUCUUUUCUAUUGGAAGAUGUUUAAAAGAGACCGAUUCCGUCAAAUUUUUUGGGUGUUACAACUGCAAAGCGAUGCUCUUCUGGUGAUCUUCUGAUAGAUUUUUGAAAGGCCGACAAGAAGAGAGAGAGAAUUGGAAAGGCAAACAAGGUUCAACUUCGUCACUUUUGCGACCGGCUCUUCAGACCCAGCCGUUCACGGGCACGCACUCGGAAAAGUUAGAAUUUCCGCAUCCAAAAAUUCCUUCUGUCCCACUUUGCUGGUCCGCUGCGAUUACAAUGCGGUAGUAUUUUUUUCGAAUGUUUAAAGACGCGACAAAAAUAAGAAUAAAAGAUAAGAAUUUGUUUAUAACUUUCAACGUUGUAAAAAUAAUUUUUCAAUCGAAUCAACAUUUGUUUAGAACGGUGUAUCCUUCCCAAGUAAAACUAAAAAAAGUACAUCUCGACACGAUCAAUGGUUUCCGAGAUCAAAGUUCGUAAAGUACAACCCAUUUUUGCAAAAAUGUACAAAAAUCGUAAAUUUCAGAGCCCUGUAUUUUUUAAACAAAUUCGAAAUUAGUAAAAUGACAACUUAAACCCCCCUAAUAUCAUAUGAACUAUAUCAUAUUUCAGUCUGUACAAAAUUCCAGACAUCGAGGGAGAAAAGUGAUCGAUUUAGCGUGGAAUCACCCCUUAAAUGUAUAUCUAUGUAGGCUUAACAAUUGCUCUACGAAUUGAACAUAUUUGAUAACGUGUUUAUCGAACAUAUUCGAUAAUGACAUUUGCACGAAACGUAUGAAAUACAAAUAUAAUUUGCACCUACAUCUUUAGUUAAGGUUGAAUUUUAUGCAGCAAGAUAAUGAAUCUGCCAUCAAACCCACUUUACAUAUAUACCCUAGUAAGGGUAGGCUUGUACGUACCGUAAAAGAGCAUCAUGUAUUUCGCAUUUCCGGAGAAAAGAAACGACGCCAUAAUUUUAAAUUAAUUAAAAAAACUGUAAGCUCACUAUUCACACGGAAAUAUCCUCGUACGGAACAAGAGCAUACUGACUUCGAUAAAUAUCCAUACAAAAUGACUUGUCCAAAUUGCUUAAGUUAUAUAAAAACGGAUGUCUAUUAUUAUAGUACUCGUGACACGCACAAGCUUGCUGCAACAUUGACUCCUGUGUGCAUGUGCAUGGUACCGUAUUGCGUUACGAAGUUCAAAAACGCAGCUCACUAUUGCCCCAGGUGCAAUAUUUAUUUGGGAACGAAAUUUGGAUCAGCAAAAUACUUAUUCUGUUGAAAUGUGAUACUUCGUAAAAGUAAUAAAGAAGUCCCGGCAUAAAUUUAAUCUUAUAUCUACAGAGUGUCCCAGAACUCCUGUUACAGCCGGAAGGGGUUAAUUUCUGAGGUGAUUUGAAAUAACUUCUUCCGUAGCAAAAAACGCGGACUAAUCAAAGAGCAAGUACAGCGGACGAAUAGCGGCAAUCCGUACUUUUUAAUUAAUAACUUGUUAACAAAACCGCGAAGAAAAAAUUUCAUUAAAGAAAAAAAAUUUUUUAAAUGACCUGAAGUACAUAUUAGCCCUUUCCGUGUAUAACGAAAGUUCUGUAUAAUGCUAUCCUAUGCUAUCCUAUCCUUUCAUAUUCUAUCCUAAUCAUGAAAUAAAUUAAUAACACUGA